Molecule: long non-coding RNA, 952 nt
Organism: Felis catus (domestic cat)
Lineage: Eukaryota; Metazoa; Chordata; Mammalia; Carnivora; Felidae
Exons: 6
Source: RefSeq, a predicted model, not a curated record
CACAUCCGGCGCUGCCCGCACUCCGAAAUCCUCAGGGCAGAAGUUACGACUAGUAAGGGCGGAAGUGGCUUCUGCCCAGCGACGCGGUAGAGCCCUGUGUGGAUGUGACGUCACAACGGAAGCGAAGGCGGGUUCCGUUAAGGGCAGAAGUUGAACCUUCAGAACUGCGGUCCCGGGCUUCCGGAAGGGACUUCUGGGGAAGUGGGAGGGUGGAAACCGACAGGUUUAUGAAUUAUGCAUCAGGUACGAGAGGAGGGUUCAUAAGCAGAACCAGGGGACUCAGGUAUCUUGCAAAGGCUUUAUUUGAAAAUUUUGAAACUUACAUCCCACAAGAAUUCAAGAUUAUCACCACAAGAAGAAAGAGAUAAUACAAAAAUAUAUAUCACAGCAUAGGAGCCAGCAGGCGCCUGGCAAGUUUAGUUCUAGUUCAAAAUCAGCUAAUGACCUGGACACCUGAGUCUAAUGAUUCUCUCAGUAAAGUGUGAAGGACUGAGCGACCCAUUAUUAAAUGCAUGCAAAGAGCUCUGGACUUUCUCCCUUCCCCCCCAGGCAGCCCCAGGAAGGAGCUGUGCAGAACAGCCAAACAUUGCUAAACAUCUGGUCCCCAUCUGCCAGCACCCUCCUCCUUGCAGCUUACCAGAACUUGAAGAUGAUGCCAGUGGCCACGAGAACAAUAAUGAUGGAGAUGUUCUCAGUUCCUUUCCUCCACGUUCCCAAAUCUGUAUGCAUGUGACGAGGAGGAGGCUGCAAGGUCAGAGAGAACCCCUCCCUCUGCACAGAAACUAAGGGUGUUCUUCUGCAUGGAAUACUCCCACUUCAUUUUCAAGGUCCAGCUCCAAUGUCAAUUCUUGGAAGGUGUCCUGAUCCCCAGGCAAAAGUAAUCUCUCCCUUCCCUCUUUUCCUAAAAACAUGCUGUGUAUGCUUCUAUUAGAGCACUUAUUACAUUGACUCA